GCUGCUGUAGCUCAGUUGGUAGAGCACGUCCUUGGUAAGGACGAGGUCACCAGUUCAAUCCUGGUCAGCAGCUCCA
Molecule: transfer RNA, 76 nt
Filed under: bacterium
Lineage: Bacteria
Also listed under: 1 other name
Description: tRNA-Thr
Rfam family: tRNA
About the family: Transfer RNA (tRNA) molecules are approximately 80 nucleotides in length. Their secondary structure includes four short double-helical elements and three loops (D, anti-codon, and T loops).
Source: RNAcentral